GGAAGUUAAGAAACUGUUUCUUAACUUUUAACUAAAAAAAACUAAAAAUUGGUUCUUAAAUAGGGACUUUAAGAACCGGUUCUUAGCCUUUUUAGUUAAAAGCUAAGAAACAGUUUAUUAUCUUCC
Non-coding RNA from Brassica napus (rape), 126 nucleotides. NCBI's taxonomy places the organism in Eukaryota, Viridiplantae, Streptophyta, Magnoliopsida, Brassicales, Brassicaceae. The record is from Rfam.